RNAcentral lists this ribosomal RNA (253 nucleotides) under uncultured bacterium. RNAcentral describes it as "partial 16S ribosomal RNA". It matches the Rfam family "Bacterial small subunit ribosomal RNA", at positions 524 to 776 of the family's 1533-position model. The record is from RNAcentral.
UACGUAGGGGGCAAGCGUUGUCCGGAUUUAUUGGGCGUAAAGAGCGUGUAGGCGGCCAGGUAGGUCAGCUGUGAAAACUCGAGGCUCAACCUCGAGACGUCGGUUGAAACCACCUGGCUAGAGUCCGGAAGAGGAGAGUGGAAUUUCCGGUGUAGCGGUGAAAUGCGUAGAUAUCGGAAGGAACAUCAGUGGCGAAAGCGGCUUCCUGGACCAGUACCGACGUUCAGGCACGAAAGCGUGGGGAGCAAACAGG